Molecule: ribosomal RNA, 677 nt
Filed under: Pleurotus pulmonarius
Lineage: Eukaryota; Fungi; Basidiomycota; Agaricomycetes; Agaricales; Pleurotaceae
Description: eukaryotic LSU rRNA
Rfam family: 5.8S ribosomal RNA (bases 268-421)
Source: RNAcentral
CUUCCCGUAGGGGGAACCUGCGGAAGGAUCAUUAAUGAAUUCACUAUGGAGUUGUUGCUGGCCUCUAGGGGCAUGUGCACGCUUCACUAGUCUUUCAACCACCUGUGAACUUUUGAUAGAUCUGCGAAGUCGUCCUUCAAGUCGUCAGACUUGGUUUGCUGGGAUUUAAACGUCUCGGUGUGACAACGCAGUCUAUUUACUUAACACACCCCAAAUGUAUGUCUACGAAUGUCAUUUAAUGGGCCUUGUGCCUAUAAACCAUAAUACAACUUUCAACAACGGAUCUCUUGGCUCUCGCAUCGAUGAAGAACGCAGCGAAAUGCGAUAAGUAAUGUGAAUUGCAGAAUUCAGUGAAUCAUCGAAUCUUUGAACGCACCUUGCGCCCCUUGGUAUUCCGAGGGGCAUGCCUGUUUGAGUGUCAUUAAAUUCUCAAACUCACAUUUAUUUGUGAUGUUUGGAUUGUUGGGGGUUGCUGGCUGUAACAAGUCGGCUCCUCUUAAAUGCAUUAGCAGGACUUGUCAUUGCCUCUGCGCAUGAUGUGAUAAUUAUCACUCAUCAAUAGCACGCAUGAAUAGAGUCCAGCUCUCUAAUCGUCCGCAAGGACAAUUUGACAAUUUGACCUCAAAUCAGGUAGGACUACCCGCUGAACUUAAGCAUAUCAAUAGGCCGGGAGGAAA